This is an unclassified non-coding RNA of Erinaceus europaeus (western European hedgehog), 303 nucleotides long. Its record names the gene 7SK. It matches the Rfam family "7SK RNA". From Rfam's summary of the family: 7SK was discovered as an abundant small nuclear RNA in the mid-70s but a possible function has only recently been suggested. The record is from Ensembl. Lineage: Eukaryota; Metazoa; Chordata; Mammalia; Eulipotyphla; Erinaceidae.
GGAUGUGAGAGCGAUCUGGCUGCGACAUCUGUCACCCCAUUGAUCGCCAGGGUUGAUUCGACUGAUCUGGCUGGCUAGGUGGGUGUCCCCUUCCUCCCUCACCACUCCAUGUGUGUCCCUCCAGAAGCUGCGUGCUAGGUCAAAGAGGACAAUCUUCCCCUGAAUAGAGACGGACUGGUCUUUGGUCGAGGGUAUAAGUAGCUGCGCUCCCCUGCUAGAACCUCCAAAUAAGCUCCCAAGUUUUUAUUGUGCUUUAUUAGGGAUAUGCUGAUUUGCAAGACUGUUGUCAAAGGUGAAAACUUC